Alosa sapidissima (American shad) is the source of this 102-nucleotide long non-coding RNA. RefSeq lists it as uncharacterized. The transcript has 4 exons. The record is from RefSeq and is a predicted model, not a curated record. Lineage: Eukaryota; Metazoa; Chordata; Actinopteri; Clupeiformes; Clupeidae.
AAGCGGGUGCACACUGCGCAGCCACUGAGUCUCGUAAGCAAGCGGGCUAGUUGAAUAGCUUAGUUUGUCAAAUUUAAGAAAUGCAGAAGAGAUUCAAGAGGA